This 253-nucleotide ribosomal RNA is filed under the name Steinernema sp. TK10. Its description in RNAcentral is "partial 18S ribosomal RNA". It matches the Rfam family "Eukaryotic small subunit ribosomal RNA", at positions 1039 to 1292 of the family's 1831-position model. The record is from RNAcentral. Lineage: Eukaryota; Metazoa; Nematoda; Chromadorea; Rhabditida; Steinernematidae.
CUGCCCACUAGCGAUUCGUCGAUGGUAAUCUAGCCUUUAUGGGGAGGUAAUCGGAAACGAAAGUCUUUCGGUUCCGGGGGAAGUAUGGUUGCAAAGCUGAAACUUAAAGAAAUUGACGGAAGGGCACCACCAGGAGUUGAGCCUGCGGCUUAAUUUGACUCAACACGGGGAAAACUCACCCGGCCCGGACACUGUUAGGAUUGACAGAUUGAAAGCUCUUUCUUGAUUCGGUGGAUGGUGGUGCAUGGCCAUC